GCCAGCUAUGGCAGUGGGUGCUGGCAGGUCACUGGCUGGGAAGGGGUGAGGGCGAGAAGGGAAGUAGAGUUGAUGUGGCUUUUGACAGGACAGAGUCCUUGUUUCUACUUGCUUGGCCUGUAACUGCUCCUGUCCCCUUACACUUUUUCUUUCCCUCUCUCUCUGGACUUCAUCUGGAGUUUUCUCGUCACAUCUCAGGCUCUGCCUUGAUUUACCCUGGAUGGAAGCUGAGGAAGGUGUACCUCACCUGUCACCUGAGAGUUGGAGGUAAACCCCAGGUUAUCAGGGGCCUGGAUAUUGACGUGAGACUGCGGGGAACCUAUGGGCUCUGCUUGAGGAAGACCUGCUUUGGACUGUACGUCUGCCACUUAUAGACCAUGGACUCUUGGCUGAUUAAUUAGUGCUACGGAGAUCCCGGGGAGGCCUUUAUCUGAAGAGCCGUUCAGCCAUUAGCAAAGGAAACUUCCUUGUGCACCAGCAGCUCAGAUAACAAGGGCACCUGUCUUGGGGAUAACCCGGGUGUGGAUAGUGAUGGCCAUGGUGCCUGACUAGAGCCUCGGCCCAGGGCUGCUACAAGGAAGGUGGACUCCCAGGACUCAUCCAUUAGCGAGGAUCCCAGGUGGCUCUGAUUCCCGGAACAUGUAGCCGUGGUGACCUGCUUCACUGCUGUGGCCCUUUCCCCUGCCUCUCCCAUGCUCUGCUUUGUCUUACCUCACCAUGACUGUCACUAUUUCUCUGGCCAAAUCUCCAACCACCGGGAGUUCUGAGGGCUCCUCAGAACGGGCAAGAGGUGGGGAUUGCUUGGUUAUUUGAUUCUUUUCAGCCAACCUUGAAGGGUUUGCAGAACCAGCUUCAUGGGCCUAUGAUCUGUACCCACAGGGCCCCAUACUCAGGAGGGCCACGUUCUUGGCUUAUUGCUCUGC
Delphinapterus leucas (beluga whale) is the source of this 923-nucleotide non-coding RNA. The record is from RefSeq and is a predicted model, not a curated record. Lineage: Eukaryota; Metazoa; Chordata; Mammalia; Artiodactyla; Monodontidae.